Long non-coding RNA from Manacus vitellinus (golden-collared manakin), 289 nucleotides. RefSeq lists it as uncharacterized. The transcript is spliced from 3 exons. Lineage: Eukaryota; Metazoa; Chordata; Aves; Passeriformes; Pipridae. The record is from RefSeq and is a predicted model, not a curated record.
GCCAAAAAUAGACAGCAAAAUCAGACUGCAGUUCAGAGAUCACACUCUCAUCUCCGUGGAACCAGAUCAAGAGAAUGCUGAUGAAAUCCGCAGGGAGAUGGUUUAUGUGUAUCAUUCCUUAAGGAACAGGAGAGACACUCCCAUGAUGGGGACAGAUGACACUGCCAGUGAGGAUGGCACGGCCCAGCAGACUCACGGGCUGCGCUUUCCUUUGUCAUACUUGGAAGCACUGAAGCAGGUUUGGAGGAGCAGCACUGUUCAUGUUAAAGAGCUUAACCUCACCUCAGAU